RNAcentral lists this ribosomal RNA (301 nucleotides) under uncultured bacterium. RNAcentral describes it as "partial 16S ribosomal RNA". It matches the Rfam family "Bacterial small subunit ribosomal RNA", at positions 509 to 809 of the family's 1533-position model. The record is from RNAcentral.
CAGCAGCCGCGGGAAUACGUAGGGUGCGAGCGUUAAUCGGAAUUACUGGGCGUAAAGCGUGCGCAGGCGGUUCGUUAAGACAGAUGUGAAAUCCCCGGGCUUAACCUGGGAACUGCAUUUGUGACUGGCGAGCUAGAGUAUGGCAGAGGGGGGUAGAAUUCCACGUGUAGCAGUGAAAUGCGUAGAGAUGUGGGGGAAUACCGAUGGCGAAGGCAGCCCCCUGGGCCAAUACUGACGCUCAUGCACGAAAGCGUGGGGAGCAAACAGGAUUAGAUAUCCCGGUAGUCCCUGUCUCUUAUAA